GACGAACGCUGGCGGCGUGCUUAACACAUGCAAGUCGAACGGAAAGGCCCUGCUUUUGUGGGGUGCUCGAGUGGCGAACGGGUGAGUAACACGUGAGUAACCUGCCCUUGACUUUGGGAUAACUUCAGGAAACUGGGGCUAAUACCGGAUAGGAGCUCCUGCUGCAUGGAGGGGGUUGGAAAGUUUCGGCGGUUGGGGAUGGACUCGCGGCUUAUCAGCUUGUUGGUGGGGUAGUGGCUUACCAAGGCUUUGACGGGUAGCCGGCCUGAGAGGGUGACCGGCCACAUUGGGACUGAGAUACGGCCCAGACUCCUACGGGAGGCAGCAGUGGGGAAUAUUGCACAAUGGGCGGAAGCCUGAUGCAGCAACGCCGCGUGCGUGAUGACGGCCUUCGGGUUGUAAACCGCUUUCGCCUGUGACGAAGCGUGAGUGACGGUAAUGGGUAAAGAAGCACCGGCUAACUACGUG
This 468-nucleotide ribosomal RNA is filed under the name uncultured bacterium. RNAcentral's name for it is "partial 16S ribosomal RNA". It matches the Rfam family "Bacterial small subunit ribosomal RNA", at positions 28 to 507 of the family's 1533-position model. The record is from RNAcentral.